RNAcentral lists this ribosomal RNA (490 nucleotides) under uncultured bacterium. RNAcentral's name for it is "partial 16S ribosomal RNA". It matches the Rfam family "Bacterial small subunit ribosomal RNA", at positions 30 to 507 of the family's 1533-position model. The record is from RNAcentral.
AUUGAACGCUGGCGGCAGGCCUAACACAUGCAAGUCGAACGGUAACAGGAAGCAGCUUGCUGCUUUGCUGACGAGUGGCGGACGGGUGAGUAAUGUCUGGGAAACUGCCUGAUGGAGGGGGAUAACUACUGGAAACGGUAGCUAAUACCGCAUAACGUCGCAAGACCAAAGAGGGGGACCUUAGGGCCUCUUGCCAUCGGAUGUGCCCAGAUGGGAUUAGCUAGUAGGUGGGGUAACGGCUCACCUAGGCGACGAUCCCUAGCUGGUCUGAGAGGAUGACCAGCCACACUGGAACUGAGACACGGUCCAGACUCCUACGGGAGGCAGCAGUGGGGAACAUUGCACAAUGGGCGCAAGCCUGAUGCAGCCAUGCCGCGUGUAUGAAGAAGGCCUUCGGGUUGUAAAGUACUUUCAGCGGGGAGGAAGGGAGUAAAGUUAAUACCUUUGCUCAUUGACGUUACCCGCAGAAGAAGCACCGGCUAACUCCGUG